UGAAGCGGCAACAGCUCAAAUUUGAAAUCUGGCCUCGGCCCGAGUUGUAAUUUGCAGAGGAUGCUUCUGGCGCGGUGCCUUCCGAGUUCCCUGGAACGGGACGCCACAGAGGGUGAGAGCCCCGUAUGGUCGGACACCAAGCCUGUGUGAAGCUCCUUCGACGAGUCGAGUAGUUUGGGAAUGCUGCUCUAAAUGGGAGGUAAAUCUCUUCUAAAGCUAAAUACCGGCCAGAGACCGAUAGCGCACAAGUAGAGUGAUCGAAAGAUGAAAAGCACCUUGAAAAGGGGGUUAAAUAGUACGUGAAAUUGUUGAAAGGGAAGCACUUGUGACCAGACUUGGGCCGGGCGGCUCAUCAGGGGUUCUCCCCUGUGCACUCCGCCCGGCACAGGCCAGCAUCGGUUCUCGUGGGGGGAUAAGACCGUCGGGAACGUAGCACCCUCCGGGGUGUGUUAUAGCCCGGCGGACGAUACCCCCGUGGGGACCGAGGUUCGCGCUCCGCCAAGGAUGCUGGCGUAAUGGUCACCAGUGACCCGUCUUGAAACACGGACCAAGGAGUCGUUCCAUUAGAGCGAGCGUUUGGGUGUAAAACCCGCACGCGUAAUGAAAGUGAACGCAGGUGAGAGCUUCGGCGCAUCAUCGACCGAUCCUGAUGUUCUCGGAAGGAUUUGAGUAAGAGUUUUAACGGACGGACCCGAAAGACAGUGAACUAUGCUUGUAUAGGGUGAAGCCAGAGGAAACUCUGGUGGAGGCUCGCAGCGGUUCUGACGUGCAAAUCGAUCGUCAAAUAUGAGCAUGGGGGGCAAAAGACUAAUCGAACUGUCUAGUAGCUGGGUACCGCCCAAAGUUUCCCUCAGGAUAGCAAUGGUUGAUCUUCAGUUUUUAUGAGGUAAAGCGAAUGAUUAAGGGACUCCGGGGAGCUAUAUUGCCUUCAUCCAUUCUCAAACUUUAAAUAUGUAAGAAGCCCUUGUUACUUAGUUGAACGUGGGCAUUCGAAUGUACCAACACUAGUGGGCCAUUUUUGGUAAGCAGAACUGGCGAUGCGGGAUGAACCGAACGCGGGGUUAAGGCGCCAGAGUGUACGCUCAUCAGACACCACAAAAGGCGUUAGUACAUCUUGACAGCAGGACGGUGGCCAUGGAAGUCGGAAUCCGCUAAGGACUGUGUAACAACUCACCUGCCGAAUGUACUAGCCCUGAAAAUGGAUGGCGCUCAAGCGUACCGCCCAUACCCCGCCCCCAGGGUAGAAACGAUGCCCUGGGGAGUAGGCGGCCGUGGGGGU
Molecule: ribosomal RNA, 1279 nt
Filed under: Diaporthaceae sp. MA81
Lineage: Eukaryota; Fungi; Ascomycota; Sordariomycetes; Diaporthales; Diaporthaceae
Description: eukaryotic LSU rRNA
Rfam family: Eukaryotic large subunit ribosomal RNA
Source: RNAcentral